AUUAAUACGUAUACUUCUUCAGAGGAUGCUCUUCAAAGGCUUGAAGCAUUGCUUCCAGUAUUCCGAAGUCGUAUGGGAGCAAUGCUGUUCCUAAUAUCUGCUUUGCUUUCUCAUGGAAUGGAAUCUGUCCAAGCUGAUAGGGAUGAUCCUUCUCAACCUUUGGUUACAGCACCUUUUGGACAUGCUUCACAGGAAAUUGUGAACCUGUUGCUUUCUGGUGAAGCUGUUGCCAAUGUGUUUGACGGGAGGAUGGAUUUGGGUGGUGGCAUGUUUGUGAAGGGUAUCUCUACAACAGUUGAAGUUGGAUUUAUUACUCUGCUAGAGUCCCUGAACUUUUGUAAAGUUGGCUUGCAUUUGAAAUGCCCGGCAUGGCCAAUAUGGGUUGUUGGCAGUGAAUCUCAUUACACUGUCUUAUUUGCUUUAGAUACAAAAGUUCAGGAGGAGAAUGAACUUGAAGGCAAGGAAACAAAGAUCCGUAGAGCUUUUGAUGCUCAAGAUCAGAGUGGAGGUGGUGGAUUUAUUAGUGUGGAAGGUUUUCAUCAAGUCCUUAGGGAUACUAAUGUGAAUCUUCCAGCUGACAAGCUUCAAAACCUCUGUAGCAGUGGAUACAUUGUAUGGAGUGAAUUCUGGCAGGUCCUGUUGGACUUGGACAAUAGUUUGGGAGGGCUGAAAGAUCCUAGUGGAUUAAUGGGGAAAAAGGUCUUUGAUCUUUACCACUUCAAUGGGAUUGCAAAAUCAGUUAUGAGCGGAAACCAGGUUUCAUCCGGAAAUGAUAUUCCGGUACAAAGGCCUAGACUCACUAAGCUGAGGGUUUCAGUUCCCCCAAGGUGGACGCCGGAGGAGUUCAUGUCUUCAGGCCCAAGUACAAGUGAUCCUGCCGGUAAGGAUUCUGUCACUGAAGUUUCAAAACCAGAACCUUCUCAGCAUGCUCCAUUAGUUGACUGCAUCCGGACACGCUGGGCCCGAGCCACAUGUACUUGGGAAGGUGAUCCACCAAGCAUAGUUUGAUUGGUUAAUUGAUUUAGUCUGAAACUGCCACCUUGUUUUCCGGGGAUUAUCACGUAGAGCAGGAGCGAUAUACUUCCGAAAAAGGUGAAAGCUUUCUGAGCAGGAAGAUUCUUUUUGUCGUGGCAGUUUUCCAUCAUGAACAUAAUGCAGUACCAUUUUCAACUGUGUGAUAUUGUAACUUCAAGAUUCUAGUUUGAUUUGGAGUAGUCCAAUUCUGAGGGUAAGAGAGGCAGUAUACUGUCAUUUCGCAUUGAUUUUUUCGCCUUAUGCUGUUGAUUAGUUUUUUCUUCCCGUUUCCUCUGAAAGGGAGAUAAAUAAGCAUCAGAUUGGUUAUUAAUUGUUGUUGUAACUUUAGAAAGCCCCUCUCAUCUUCGCACUUGAUUAGGGAAAUAUCUUAUUCGGA
Molecule: unclassified non-coding RNA, 1411 nt
Filed under: Hevea brasiliensis (rubber tree)
Lineage: Eukaryota; Viridiplantae; Streptophyta; Magnoliopsida; Malpighiales; Euphorbiaceae
Source: RNAcentral